AUUGAACGCUGGCGGAAUGCUUUACACAUGCAAGUCGAACGGCAGCACGGACUUCGGUCUGGUGGCGAGUGGCGAACGGGUGAGUAAUACAUCGGAACGUGCCCAAUCGUGGGGGAUAACGUAGCGAAAGCUACGCUAAUACCGCAUACGAUCUAAGGAUGAAAGCGGGGGAUCGCAAGACCUCGCGCGAUGGGAGCGGCCGAUGGCAGAUUAGGUAGUUGGUAGGGUAAAGGCCUACCAAGCCGACGAUCUGUAGCUGGUCUGAGAGGAUGAUCAGUCACACUGGGACUGAGACACGGCCCAGACUCCUGCGGGAGGCAGCAGUGGGGAAUUUUGGACAAUGGACGCAAGUCUGAUCCAGCCAUUCCGCGUGCAGGAUGAAGGCCCUCGGGUUGUAAACUGCUUUUGUACAGAACGAAAAGGCUCUGGUUAAUACCUAGGGCUCAUGACGGUACCGUAAGAAUAAGCACCGGCUAACUACGUGCCAGCAGCCGCCGUAA
Molecule: ribosomal RNA, 500 nt
Filed under: uncultured bacterium
Lineage: Bacteria
Description: partial 16S ribosomal RNA
Rfam family: Bacterial small subunit ribosomal RNA
Source: RNAcentral